CCUACGGGGGGCAGCAGUGGGGAAUAUUGGACAAUGGGGGGAACCCUGAUCCAGCCAUGCCGCGUGUGUGAAGAAGGCCCUCGGGUUGUAAAGCACUUUCAGUGAGGAAGAACGCCUGGUGGUUAAUACCCAUCAGGAAAGACAUCACUCACAGAAGAAGCACCGGCUAACUCCGUGCCAGCAGCCGCGGUAAUACGGAGGGUGCGAGCGUUAAUCGGAAUUACUGGGCGUAAAGCGCGCGUAGGUGGCUUGAUAAGCCGGUUGUGAAAGCCCGGGGCUCAACCUGGGAACGGCAUCCGGAACUGUCAAGCUAGAGUGCAGGAGAGGAAGGUAGAAUUCCCGGUGUAGCGGUGAAAUGCGUAGAGAUCGGGAGGAAUACCAGUGGCGAAGGCGGCCUUCUGGACUGACACUGACACUGAGGUGCGAAAGCGUGGGUAGCAAACAGGAUUAGAUACCCUGGUAGUC
RNAcentral lists this ribosomal RNA (465 nucleotides) under Vreelandella stevensii. RNAcentral's name for it is "partial 16S ribosomal RNA". It matches the Rfam family "Bacterial small subunit ribosomal RNA", at positions 338 to 795 of the family's 1533-position model. Lineage: Bacteria; Pseudomonadati; Pseudomonadota; Gammaproteobacteria; Oceanospirillales; Halomonadaceae. The record is from RNAcentral.